UGGCGGACGGGUGAGUAACGCGUGAGUAACCUGCCCUUAAGAAAGGGAUAGCGUCUUGAAACGGACGGUAAUACCAUAUAAAGUAUAUUAACGGCAUCGUAGAUAUACCAAAGCUGAGGCGCCUAAGGAUGGACUCGCGUCUGAUUAGAUAGUUGGUGGGGUAACGGCCUACCAAGUCGACGAUCAGUAGCCGGACUGAGAGGUUGAACGGCCACAUUGGGACUGAGACACGGCCCAGACUCCUACGGGAGGCAGCAG
This 258-nucleotide ribosomal RNA is filed under the name uncultured bacterium. Its description in RNAcentral is "partial 16S ribosomal RNA". It matches the Rfam family "Bacterial small subunit ribosomal RNA", at positions 96 to 354 of the family's 1533-position model. The record is from RNAcentral.